CCUACGGGUGGCUGCAGUGGGGAAUAUUGCACUAUGGGCGCAAGCCUGAUGCAGCCAUGCCGCGUGUGUGAAGAAGGCCUUCGGGUUGUAAAGCACUUUCAGCGGGGAGGAUGGCGUUAAGGUUAAUAACCUUGUCGAUUGACGUUACCCGCAGAAGAAGCACCGGCUAACUCCGUGCCAGCAGCCGCGGUAAUACGGAGGGUGCAAGCGUUAAUCGGAAUUACUGGGCGUAAAGCGCACGCAGGCGGUCUGUCAAGUCGGAUGUGAAAUCCCCGGGCUCAACCUGGGAACUGCAUUCGAAACUGGCAGGCUAGAGUCUUGUAGAGGGGGGUAGAAUUCCAGGUGUAGCGGUGAAAUGCGUAGAGAUCUGGAGGAGUACCGGUGGCGAAGGCGGCCCCCUGGACAAAGACUGACGCUCAGGUGCGGUAGCGUGGGGAGCAAACAGGUUUAGAUACCCGAGUAGUC
RNAcentral lists this ribosomal RNA (465 nucleotides) under uncultured Klebsiella sp. Its description in RNAcentral is "bacterial SSU rRNA". It matches the Rfam family "Bacterial small subunit ribosomal RNA", at positions 338 to 795 of the family's 1533-position model. The record is from RNAcentral. Lineage: Bacteria; Pseudomonadati; Pseudomonadota; Gammaproteobacteria; Enterobacterales; Enterobacteriaceae.